GAUGAACGCUGGCGGCGUGCCUAACACAUGCAAGUCGAGCGAACAGACGAGGCGCUUGCGCCGCUCACGUUAGGCGCGGAGGGGAGAGUAACGCGUGGAUAAUGCACUUAUCUUUCUGAUAACAUCUGGGAACAGCGGCGCAUAUACCGGAUAAGCUAUUGAUGCGUAGGGUUCAUGAAAGGUAGAGGCGUUUGGGGAUGGAUUUGCGGCGUAUCAGGCUGUUGUAGCUAGUUGGGAAGGUAACGGCUUACCCAGGUAACGAUGCGGAGCCGAUGAGAGGGGGGGAUCGGCCACCCUGGAACGUAGACACGCUCCAGACUCCUACGGGAGGCAGCAGUAGCGAAUCUGCCGCAAUGGGCGAGAGCCUGACGGAGCAACGCCGCGUGAGUGAUGAAGGUCUUCGGAUCGUAAAGCUCUGUUAUUAGGGAUGAACAAAUGUGGAAGUAACUGUGCACGUCUUGACGGUACCUAAUCAGAAAGCCACGGCUAACUACGUG
Molecule: ribosomal RNA, 497 nt
Filed under: uncultured bacterium
Lineage: Bacteria
Description: partial 16S ribosomal RNA
Rfam family: Bacterial small subunit ribosomal RNA
Source: RNAcentral